ACAGGUGUUGCAUGGCUGUCGUCAGCUCGUGUCGUGAGAUGUUCGGUUAAGUCCGCUAACGAGCGCAACCCUCGCUGUGUGUUAUAUGUGUCACACAGGGACUGCUGGUAUUAAGCCGGAGGAAGGUGGGACGACGUCAAGUCAGCAUGACCUUUAUAUCCCAGGGCUACACACACGCUACAAUGGUCAGUACAAUGGGUUGCCAAGCCGCGAGGCGGAGCCAAUCCUAAAAAGCUGGCCUCAGUUCAGAUUGCAGUCUGAAACUCGACUGCAUGAAGUCGGAGUUGCUAGUAAACGCAGGUCAGCUAUACUGCGUUGAAUACGUUCCCGGGGCUU
RNAcentral lists this ribosomal RNA (336 nucleotides) under uncultured Anaerolineaceae bacterium. RNAcentral's name for it is "bacterial SSU rRNA". It matches the Rfam family "Bacterial small subunit ribosomal RNA", at positions 1034 to 1382 of the family's 1533-position model. The record is from RNAcentral. Lineage: Bacteria; Bacillati; Chloroflexota; Anaerolineae; Anaerolineales; Anaerolineaceae.